UACGUAGGGGGCGAGCGUUGUCCGGAAUUAUUGGGCGUAAAGGGUUCGUAGGCGGUAAUACAUGUCAGAUGUGAAAUCUUGUGGCUUAACCACAUCAAGCAUCUGAAACUGUAUAACUUGAGUGGAGGAGAGGUAAGUGGAAUUCCUAGUGUAGCGGUGAAAUGCGUAGAUAUCACGAGGAACUCCGAUUGCGCAGGCAGCUUACUAAACUACUACUGACGCUCAGGCACGAAGGCGUGGGGAUCAAACAGGAUUAGAUA
This 260-nucleotide ribosomal RNA is filed under the name uncultured prokaryote. RNAcentral's name for it is "partial 16S ribosomal RNA". It matches the Rfam family "Bacterial small subunit ribosomal RNA", at positions 524 to 784 of the family's 1533-position model. The record is from RNAcentral.